RNAcentral lists this ribosomal RNA (885 nucleotides) under Microbacterium resistens. RNAcentral's name for it is "bacterial SSU rRNA". It matches the Rfam family "Bacterial small subunit ribosomal RNA", at positions 21 to 914 of the family's 1533-position model. The record is from RNAcentral. Lineage: Bacteria; Bacillati; Actinomycetota; Actinomycetes; Micrococcales; Microbacteriaceae.
GGCUCAGGAUGAACGCUGGCGGCGUGCUUAACACAUGCAAGUCGAACGAUGAAGCUGGGGCUUGCUCUGGUGGAUUAGUGGCGAACGGGUGAGUAACACGUGAGCAACCUGCCCUGGACUCUGGGAUAAGCGCUGGAAACGGCGUCUAAUACUGGAUACGAGACGUGGCCGCAUGGUCAACGUUUGGAAAGAUUUUUCGGUCUGGGAUGGGCUCGCGGCCUAUCAGCUUGUUGGUGAGGUAAUGGCUCACCAAGGCGUCGACGGGUAGCCGGCCUGAGAGGGUGACCGGCCACACUGGGACUGAGACACGGCCCAGACUCCUACGGGAGGCAGCAGUGGGGAAUAUUGCACAAUGGGCGGAAGCCUGAUGCAGCAACGCCGCGUGAGGGAUGACGGCCUUCGGGUUGUAAACCUCUUUUAGCAGGGAAGAAGCGUGAGUGACGGUACCUGCAGAAAAAGCGCCGGCUAACUACGUGCCAGCAGCCGCGGUAAUACGUAGGGCGCAAGCGUUAUCCGGAAUUAUUGGGCGUAAAGAGCUCGUAGGCGGUUUGUCGCGUCUGCUGUGAAAUCCCGAGGCUCAACCUCGGGCCUGCAGUGGGUACGGGCAGACUAGAGUGCGGUAGGGGAGAUUGGAAUUCCUGGUGUAGCGGUGGAAUGCGCAGAUAUCAGGAGGAACACCGAUGGCGAAGGCAGAUCUCUGGGCCGUAACUGACGCUGAGGAGCGAAAGGGUGGGGAGCAAACAGGCUUAGAUACCCUGGUAGUCCACCCCGUAAACGUUGGGAACUAGUUGUGGGGUCCUUUCCACGGAUUCCGUGACGCAGCUAACGCAUUAAGUUCCCCGCCUGGGGAGUACGGCCGCAAGGCUAAAACUCAAAGGAAUUGAC